Molecule: ribosomal RNA, 390 nt
Filed under: uncultured archaeon
Lineage: Archaea
Description: bacterial SSU rRNA
Rfam family: Archaeal small subunit ribosomal RNA
Source: RNAcentral
AUGUGGGAAACCACGAUGCGGGAAACCCAAGUGCCAGCGCUAUGCGUUGGCUGUCCUCCAGUGUUCGUAACUGGGGAAGAAAGUGCUGGGUAAGACGGGUGCCAGCCGCCGCGGUAAUACCCGCAGCACAAGUGGUGGUCAUUAUUAUUGGGCCUAAAGCGUCCGUAGCUGGCUUGUUAGAUGCCUGGGUAAAUCGAUGCGCUCAACGCAUCGAACUCCGGGUAGACCGGCAAGCUUGGGACCGGGAGAGGCGUGAGCUACUCGAGGGGUAGGGGUAAAAUCCUGUAAUCCUUCGGGGAGGACCAGUGGCGAAGGCGUCACGCUAGAACGGCUCCGACAGUGAGGGACGAAGCCCUGGGGCGCAAACCGGAUUAGAUACCCCCGUAGUCC